UACUCCUACGGGAGGCAGCAGUGAGGAAUCUUCCACAAUGGGCGAAAGCCUGAUGGAGCAACGCCGCGUGCAGGAUGAAGGCCUUCGGGUUGUAAACUGCUUUUAUGAGUGAAGAAUAUGACGGUAGCAGAUGAAUAAGGAUCGGCUAACUCCGUGCCAGCAGCCGCGGUAAUA
This 174-nucleotide ribosomal RNA is filed under the name uncultured bacterium. RNAcentral describes it as "partial 16S ribosomal RNA". It matches the Rfam family "Bacterial small subunit ribosomal RNA", at positions 334 to 525 of the family's 1533-position model. The record is from RNAcentral.